This 607-nucleotide ribosomal RNA is filed under the name Vibrio sp. Its description in RNAcentral is "bacterial SSU rRNA". It matches the Rfam family "Bacterial small subunit ribosomal RNA", at positions 137 to 739 of the family's 1533-position model. The record is from RNAcentral. Lineage: Bacteria; Pseudomonadati; Pseudomonadota; Gammaproteobacteria; Vibrionales; Vibrionaceae.
UGGGGGAUAACCAUUGGAAACGAUGGCUAAUACCGCAUAAUACCUUCGGGUCAAAGAGGGGGACCUUCGGGCCUCUCGCGUCAGGAUAUGCCUAGGUGGGAUUAGCUAGUUGGUGAGGUAAUGGCUCACCAAGGCGACGAUCCCUAGCUGGUCUGAGAGGAUGAUCAGCCACACUGGAACUGAGACACGGUCCAGACUCCUACGGGAGGCAGCAGUGGGGAAUAUUGCACAAUGGGCGCAAGCCUGAUGCAGCCAUGCCGCGUGUGUGAAGAAGGCCUUCGGGUUGUAAAGCACUUUCAGUCGUGAGGAAGGUAGUGUAGUUAAUAGCUGCAUUAUUUGACGUUAGCGACAGAAGAAGCACCGGCUAACUCCGUGCCAGCAGCCGCGGUAAUACGGAGGGUGCGAGCGUUAAUCGGAAUUACUGGGCGUAAAGCGCAUGCAGGUGGUUUGUUAAGUCAGAUGUGAAAGCCCGGGGCUCAACCUCGGAAUAGCAUUUGAAACUGGCAGACUAGAGUACUGUAGAGGGGGGUAGAAUUUCAGGUGUAGCGGUGAAAUGCGUAGAGAUCUGAAGGAAUACCGGUGGCGAAGGCGGCCCCCUGGACAGAUA